Molecule: ribosomal RNA, 630 nt
Filed under: uncultured bacterium
Lineage: Bacteria
Description: bacterial SSU rRNA
Rfam family: Bacterial small subunit ribosomal RNA
Source: RNAcentral
ACGCUGGCGGCGUGCUAACACCAUGCAAGUUAACGAAGCUGAGGAGCUUGCUCCGAAAGCUUAGUGGCGCACGGGUGAGUAACACGUGGAUAAUCUACCUGUCAGUACGGGAUAACAGUUGGAAACGACUGCUAAUACCGCAUACGAUCCAAUUUUAUCGUUGGGUGAAAGAAGGCCUCUGCAUAUGCUUUCGCUGACAGAUGAGUCCGCGCCUCAUUAGUAGACGGUGGGGUAAUGGCCUACCGUGCCUACGAUGAGUAGCCGGCCUGAGAGGGUAAUCGGCCACACUGGGACUGGAACACGGCCAAAACUCCUACGGGGGGCAGCAGUGGGGAAUAUUGCGCAAUGGACGAAAGUCUGACGCAGCGACGCCGCGUGAGGGAUGAAAGGUCUUCGGAUCGUAAACCUCUGUCAGGAGGGAAGAAAAAGCAGGGUGCUAAUCAGCCCUGCCUGACGGUAACUCCAAAGGAAGCACCGGCUAAAUACCGUGCCAGCAGCCGCGGUAAUACGACGGUGCAACCGUUAAUCGGAAUCACUGGGCGGUAUAAGCACGCGCGUAAUGCGGGCUUUUGUAAGAUCAACACGGUGAAAAUCCCACCGGGGUCACCCCGUGGAACAUGGCCUUUUGAU